This is a long non-coding RNA of Sphaerodactylus townsendi, 217 nucleotides long. RefSeq lists it as uncharacterized. The transcript has 3 exons. The record is from RefSeq and is a predicted model, not a curated record. NCBI's taxonomy places the organism in Eukaryota, Metazoa, Chordata, Lepidosauria, Squamata, Sphaerodactylidae.
AAAAUGAUCAGGCUGGCUUUUACAGCCCUGGCCCCCACCUGGUGGAAUUAGCUCCCAAAGGAGAUCAGGGCCCUGUGGGACUUGCAGAGCUUUUGCUGGGCCUGCAAGACGGACGUGUUCUGACAGGCAUUUUGCCAGCCUGGUUAAGUACAUCUACUAUUCCAUCUGGCCUCCCGUGGGCACAAGGGUGGGGUGGGGAGGGGAGAGAAAUACGCCA